GCCUGAUCUUGUGUGAUUUACUUUGUACCAACACCCCAUGACCCAGAUGACUUGGCCAAGGUCAUCAGCCAAAGCCAGGCCUCUGGGUCUAACUACCGGCAGGCUGACAAGGCAUACAGGUCAGCGGGCAAAGCAACGGAGGGAGACCCCAUACGUUCUGCUUGACCUGUUGUCUUGCUCUUUGUCCCUUCUGGGAUUUUCUCAGCUCCCACCUCUGGGUGCCUGGUCCCUAAAGCCCCUCUCAAAUGACAAUGUGGCAUCCACCCUGGGACGAUGGCGUCUCCAUGGCAGGUCUUGAAGAGCAAGAACGCCUCGGAAGAGAGAAGAGCAGACGAUACAGCAGGGGCUUGGAUGAACAUUCCCACCCACCGCUUCCUGUCUCUCAGAGGCCUGGUCAUGCUGCAUGUCUUUGGUACGGAGCUGCCAUGGUGUGUACAGGAACUUGCCAGCACCUGGCAUGCGGUUGUGAGAAGGGACUCCAUGGCUGCUAUUUUGAUGAAGGAAUGCAUAUGUGAGUAGAUGGAUGAACCCUUGAAUAGGUUUGCAAACCAGGAGUGGGGAAUGGACUGGAUCAAUUAAAUGCAUGACUAGAAAGAAAAAUGGAAGAGUAAAUAAUGAAACAGCGAAAGGACGAACCAAUGAAUAGACACAUGAAUGUCGGCAAUAAAUUCGUGGUUAGAAUAAAGGCCAAAUUCAGCUGCCAGGAAGGAAAACAAAUGUAAGAUAGCAGACACAUUAAAACCAGG
RNAcentral lists this long non-coding RNA (746 nucleotides) under Cricetulus griseus (Chinese hamster). RNAcentral's name for it is "lncRNA (ENSCGRG00015038604.1)". The record is from RNAcentral. Lineage: Eukaryota; Metazoa; Chordata; Mammalia; Rodentia; Cricetidae.